GACGAACGCUGGCGGCGUGCCUAAUACAUGCAAGUAGAACGCUGAAGCGAGGAGCUUGCUCUUCUUGGAUGAGUUGCGAACGGGUGAGUAACGCGUAGGUAACCUGCCUGGUAGCGGGGGAUAACUAUUGGAAACGAUAGCUAAUACCGCAUAAAAUGGAUUAUCGCAUGAUAAUCCAUUGAAAGGUGCAAAUGCAUCACUACCAGAUGGACCUGCGUUGUAUUAGCUAGUUGGUGGGGUAACGGCUCACCAAGGCGACGAUACAUAGCCGACCUGAGAGGGUGAUCCGCCACACUGGGACUGAGACACGGCCCAGACUCCUACGGGAGGCAGCAGUAGGGAAUCUUCGGCAAUGGACGGAAGGCUGAACGAGCAACGCCGCGUGAGGGAAGAAGGUUUUCGGAUCGUAAAGCUCUGUUGUAAGAGAAGAACGAGUGUGAGAGUGGAAAGUUCACACUGUGACGGUAUCUUACCAGAAAGGGACGGCUAACUACGUG
This 497-nucleotide ribosomal RNA is filed under the name uncultured bacterium. Its description in RNAcentral is "partial 16S ribosomal RNA". It matches the Rfam family "Bacterial small subunit ribosomal RNA", at positions 28 to 507 of the family's 1533-position model. The record is from RNAcentral.